GACGAACGCUGGCGGCGUGCCUAAUACAUGCCAGUAGAACGCUGAAGGAGGAGCUUGCUUCUCUGGAUGAGUUGCGAACGGGUGAGUAACGCGUAGGUAACCUGCCUGGUAGUGGGGGAUAACUAUUGGAAACGAUAGCUAAUACCGCAUAAUAGCAGUUGUUGCAUGAUAACUGUUUGAAAGGUGCAAUUGCACCGCUACCAGAUGGACCUGCGUUGUAUUAGCUAGUUGGUGGGGUAACGGCUCACCAAGGCGACGAUACAUAGCCGACCUGAGAGGGUGAUCGGCCACACUGGGACUGAGACACGGCCCAGACUCCUACGGGAGGCAGCAGUAGGGAAUCUUCGGCAAUGGACGGAAGUCUGACCGAGCAACGCCGCGUGAGUGAAGAAGGGUUUCGGAUCGUAAAGCUCUGUUGUAAGAGAAGAACGAGUGUGAGAGUGGAAAGUUCACACUGUGACGGUAUCUUACCAGAAAGGGACGGCUAACUACGUG
This 495-nucleotide ribosomal RNA is filed under the name uncultured bacterium. RNAcentral describes it as "partial 16S ribosomal RNA". It matches the Rfam family "Bacterial small subunit ribosomal RNA", at positions 28 to 507 of the family's 1533-position model. The record is from RNAcentral.